RNAcentral lists this ribosomal RNA (197 nucleotides) under uncultured bacterium. RNAcentral describes it as "partial 16S ribosomal RNA". It matches the Rfam family "Bacterial small subunit ribosomal RNA", at positions 328 to 539 of the family's 1533-position model. The record is from RNAcentral.
ACGCUCGACACCUACGGAGGCAGCAGUGGGGAAUAUUGCACAAUGGGGGAAACCCUGAUGCAGCGACGCCGCGUGAGUGAAGAAGUAUUUCGGUAUGUAAAGCUCUAUCAGCAGGGAAGAAAAUGACGGUACCUGACUAAGAAGCCCCGGCUAACUACGUGCCAGCAGCCGCGGUAAUCUGAGCGGGCUGGCAAGGC